Molecule: ribosomal RNA, 492 nt
Filed under: uncultured bacterium
Lineage: Bacteria
Description: partial 16S ribosomal RNA
Rfam family: Bacterial small subunit ribosomal RNA
Source: RNAcentral
AGUGAACGCUGGCGGUAGGCCUAACACAUGCAAGUCGAACGGCAGCACAGUAAGAGCUUGCUCUUACGGGUGGCGAGUGGCGGACGGGUGAGGAAUACAUCGGAAUCUACUUUUUCGUGGGGGAUAACGUAGGGAAACUUACGCUAAUACCGCAUACGACCUACGGGUGAAAGCAGGGGAUCUUCGGACCUUGCGCGAUUGAAUGAGCCGAUGUCGGAUUAGCUAGUUGGCGGGGUAAAGGCCCACCAAGGCGACGAUCCGUAGCUGGUCUGAGAGGAUGAUCAGCCACACUGGAACUGAGACGCGGUCCAGACUCCUACGGGAGGCAGCAGUGGGGAAUAUUGGACAAUGGGCGCAAGCCUGAUCCAGCCAUACCGCGUGGGUGAAGAAGGCCUUCGGGUUAUAAAGCCCUUUUGUUGGGAAAGAAAAGCAGCAGGUUAAUACCCCGCUGUUCUGACGGUACCCAAAGAAUAAGCACCGGCUAACUUCGUG